UAAUUACUACUAUCUAUGUAGUAGUAUAGUAAGGACCAAGAAUGUGAUAUGCCGAAGAAUUCGGAAAGUAAAUGUCGGACUUUAGUCAAAUUGACCGAAGUGCGAGGUUGCUAUGCUUCGGAAAGACCGAAGGCGUUAGAAUGAGUAAAAGUGCAUUGUGGGAGGUUUUCGAGAGCUAAAGAAUCAAAAUCUGCAAACUG
This 200-nucleotide long non-coding RNA is filed under the name Ananas comosus (pineapple). RNAcentral describes it as "long non-coding RNA (ACOM_LNC039948)". The record is from RNAcentral. Lineage: Eukaryota; Viridiplantae; Streptophyta; Magnoliopsida; Poales; Bromeliaceae.